GGAAGGAUCAUUAUCGUACAACCGAGGUGCGAAGGCUGUCGCUGACCCUCAAAGGUCGUGCACGCCCGAGCGCUCUCACACAAUCCAUCUCACCUUUGUGCAUCACCGCGUGGGUCCCCUUUGCGGGAGGGCUUGCGUUUUCACAUAAAACUCGAUACAGUGUAGAAUGUUUCUUUUGCGGUCACACGCAAUCAAUACAACUUUCAACAACGGAUCUCUUGGCUCUCGCAUCGAUGAAGAACGCAGCGAAAUGCGAUACGUAAUGUGAAUUGCAGAAUUCAGUGAAUCAUCGAAUCUUUGAACGCACCUUGCGCCCCUUGGCAUUCCGAGGGGCACACCCGUUUGAGUGUCGUGAAAUCUUCAAAACCCUUUUUUCCUUUGAACCAUUGCGGUCCGGGAAAAGGAUUUUUGGACUUGGAGGCUUAAUGCUCGCCCUUUCUUUUCGAAAGCGAGCUCCUCUCAAAUGAAUUAGUGGGGUCCGCUUUGCUGAUCCUUGACGUGAUAAAAUGUUUCUACGUUUUGGGUUUAGCACUGUCCCUUGGAUGCCUGCUCCUAAUCGUCUCAUUGACAAUGAUGGUGCUCCGGUCACCGCCGUCUACAUCGGCGGGAGGCUGGACCCACAAAAAGAAAACCUUGACCUCAAAUCGGGUGAGACUACCCGCUGAACUUAAGCAUAUCAAUAAGCGGAGGAAAAGAAACUAACAAGGAUUCCCCUAGUAACUGCGAGUGAAGCGGGAAAAGCUCAAAUUUAAAAUCUGGUGGUCUUUGGCCACCCGAGUUGUAAUUUAGAGAAGCGUCUUCCGCGCUGGACCGUGCACAAGUCUCCUGGAAUGGAGCGUCAUAGAGGGUGAGAAUCCCGUCUUUGGCAUGGACACACCAGGGCUUUUGUGAUGCGCUCUCGAAGAGUCGAGUUGUUUGGGAAUGCAGCUCAAAAUGGGUGGUGAACUCCAUCUAAAGCUAAAUAUUGGCGAGAGACCGAUAGCGAACAAGUACCGUGAGGGAAAGAUGAAAAGCACUUUGGAAAGAGAGUGAAACAGUACGUGAAAUUGUUGAAAGGGAAACGCUUGAAGUCAGUCACGUCGACCGAGACUCAGCCUUGCCUCGGCUUGGUGUACUUCUCGGCUGACGGGUCAGCAUCAAUUUUGCCCCUUGGAUAAUGGCGAGGGAAAUGUGACACCUUUAUGGUGUGUUAUAGUCUCUCGUCGCAUGCAAGGGUUGGGAUUGAGGAACUCAGCACGCGCCUUUUGGUGUCGGGGCUUUGCCCACGAUACGUGCUUAGGAUGUUGGCAUAAUGGCUUUAAACGACCCGUCUUGAAACACGGACCAAGGAGUCUAACAUGCCUGCGAGUGUUCGGGUGGAAAACCCGUGCGCGCAAUGAAAGUGAAAGUUGGGACCUCUGUCGUGGAGGGCACCGACGCCCGGACCAGACCUUCUGUGACGGCUCUGCGGUAAAGCAUGUAUGUUAGGACCCGAAAGAUGGUGAACUAUGCCUGAAUAGGGUGAAGCCAGAGGAAACUCUGGUGGAGGCUCGUAGCGAUUCUGACGUGCAAAUCGAUCGUCAAAUUUGGGUAUAGGGGCGAAAGACUAAUCGAACCAUCUAGUAGCUGGUUCCUGC
This 1616-nucleotide unclassified non-coding RNA is filed under the name uncultured fungus. Its description in RNAcentral is "sequence contains 18S rRNA gene, ITS1, 5.8S rRNA gene, ITS2, 28S rRNA gene". The stretch from base 635 to 1616 matches the Rfam family "Eukaryotic large subunit ribosomal RNA", at positions 1 to 961 of the family's 3401-position model. Lineage: Eukaryota; Fungi. The record is from RNAcentral.